AGUGGGGAAUAUUGCGCAAUGGGCGGAAGCCUGACGCAGCGACGCCGCGUGGGGGAUGACGGCCUUCGGGUUGUAAACCUCUUUCAGCCCCGACGAAGCGAAAGUGACGGUAGGGGUAGAAGAAGCACCGGCCAACUACGUGCCAGCAGCCGCGGUAAUACGUAGGGUGCAAGCGUUGUCCGGAUUUAUUGGGCGUAAAGAGCUCGUAGGCGGUUUGUCGCGUCUUCCGUGAAAACUGGGGGCUUAACUUCCAGCUUGCGGUGGAUACGGGCUGACUGGAGUGCGGCAGGGGAGACUGGAAUUCCUGGUGUAGCGGUGAAAUGCGCAGAUAUCAGGAGGAACACCGGUGGCGAAGGCGGGUCUCUGGGCCGUUACUGACGCUGAGGAGCGAAAGCGUGGGGAGCGAA
Molecule: ribosomal RNA, 407 nt
Filed under: uncultured bacterium
Lineage: Bacteria
Description: bacterial SSU rRNA
Rfam family: Bacterial small subunit ribosomal RNA
Source: RNAcentral